GAUGAACGCUAGCGGCAGGCCUAACACAUGCAAGUCGAGGGGCAUCAUGGCGUAGCAAUACGCUGAUGGCGACCGGCGCACGGGUGCGUAACGCGUAUGGAACCUACCCACCGCAGGGGGAUAACCCGCCGAAAGGCGGACUAAUACCCCAUGGUUCCCCGACCCUGCCUGGGGUUGGGGGUAAAGCCUACGGGCGGCGGUGGAUGGCCCUGCGUGCCAUUAGCUGGCUGGUGGGGUAACGGCCCACCAGGGCGACGAUGGCUAGGGGGUCUGAGAGGACGAUCCCCCACACUGGUACUGAGACACGGACCAGACUCCUACGGGAGGCAGCAGUGAGGAAUAUUGGUCAAUGGGCGCAAGCCUGAACCAGCCAUCCCGCGUGCAGGAAGACGGCCCUAUGGGUUGUAAACUGCUUUUCCAGGGAGAGAAACUUACGCACGUGUUGCGUGACUGACGGUACCCUGGGAAUAAGCAUCGGCUAACUCCGUGCCAGCAGCCGCGGUAAU
This 506-nucleotide ribosomal RNA is filed under the name uncultured bacterium. RNAcentral's name for it is "bacterial SSU rRNA". It matches the Rfam family "Bacterial small subunit ribosomal RNA", at positions 28 to 524 of the family's 1533-position model. The record is from RNAcentral.